AAUUUGUUGAAGAAAUAAAAUAUGUUUAGAAAAUGAAUAAUGAAUUGGGUGAAUGGUCACUUUGGUCCCUAAAGUUACAAGCGUCGGGCAAUUUAGUCUCUAUUCUAAGGAAAUGUCGUCCGUAGUCCCUGAAGCUGACAAACGUCGAUCACAUUGGUCCCUGCCUCUGCUCCCGUUAGUGAACGUUAACGGAGACGAUGAUUUGGCACGUUAAGUGUGCAUCUCUCCUAGCCACGUGGAUUGGAACAUUGGGGGGAAACAUUGAAACUUCAAUUUAGUCCCUUUUAUCCUUAUAAGAGAAGAAGAACCCUAGAACAGACCAAAAAUCCCAAAAUUCCAAAAUCCGACCACCACUUUGCUUCUUCCAAUCCUCAAAUUUCUUGUCUCAUUCAACUCGCAACUGACAUACAAUUCAUCUGGGUUAUUGUAUUUGUGUUUGAUCUUUCUUUAAUCGGUAUUACUUUGCAUCUUUGAUGAAAAAGUGGUUUUUUUUCCUUCUGCUAUGAUUUUGGCUUUUUUUUGGGUUUAUGCAGGGAUAAGAAGGUUGCUCUUUUCACCCAUAUGCAAUUUUGUUUUUGGAUUUGGUUGGAAGUUUUGAUCUUGAUUUUGGAGGUGAAGGAUUGGUUUUGGUGAUUGUUCUUUUUUGAAGUCUGGUUCUUCUUCUCCAUGGCUUUUGAGGAGUCUGAGCAUGUGAUCUCGGAGCUGGAAAGGGAUGAGAAUUUGAUUGCUGCAACAAGGCAUAUUGUGAAGGCAUUAGGUUCAAAUAAGCACCUUACUAGUGAUGCCAAGAAAGUUCUGGCGCGCAGAUCUUGGCUCACAGUUGUCCUCCAUGACCAUGCCGAGCGAGAAGGAGGAGAGGAAGCAAGGGCGAAAGAACGAUGAUAUCGACGAGGAUGACAAGGAGGAGGAGGAGGAGGAGGGAGAAAAGGAAGAGGGCAUUAGUGUUGUUGAUCAAAGGCUUGGUGAAAUUGGAGAAAAUAAUGAGAUGGGAGGAAGAUCAUGAUUUGGGAUUUGGGGCUUGAAGAAGCAUCUGAAUAUCUGGAUUUGGGAUUUGAGGUUUUGUUUUCUGGGUUUGAUGAUGAUAUGAUGUUGAAGAUGAUAAGAUGAUGAUUUUAAAUUUUUUUUUUGA
Long non-coding RNA from Lotus japonicus, 1129 nucleotides. RefSeq lists it as uncharacterized. NCBI's taxonomy places the organism in Eukaryota, Viridiplantae, Streptophyta, Magnoliopsida, Fabales, Fabaceae. The transcript is spliced from 2 exons. The record is from RefSeq and is a predicted model, not a curated record.